This is a long non-coding RNA of Rhinopithecus bieti (black snub-nosed monkey), 1573 nucleotides long. NCBI's taxonomy places the organism in Eukaryota, Metazoa, Chordata, Mammalia, Primates, Cercopithecidae. The record is from Ensembl.
AUGCUGCAGUUGGUCCGGGCCGGGGCGCGCACCUGGCUUCGGCCUACGGGCUGCAGGGGCUUGAGUUCGCUGGCGGAAGAGGCAGCGCAUCCUACCGAGAACCCGGAGCAGGUGGCGAGCGAGGGUCUCCCGGAGCCCGUGCUGCGCAAAGUCGAGCUCCCAGUACCCGCUCAUCGACGCCCGGUGCAGGCCUGGGUCGAGUCCUUGCGAGGCUUCGAGCAGGAGCGCGUGGGCCUGGCUGACCUGCACCCCGAUAUUUUCGCCACCGCGCCCAGGUGAGCGAGGACUGUAAUGGUGAACUGAGUGGCGGAGGGAUGAAGAGCGGAAGUUCAGGAGUCAGGAUGACUUUGGGCUUGUACCGUUGGAAAAGUGCUGGAUUUCUACAGCCUCCUUUUCUUCACCUGUCAAAGGGGGAUGAUGACAGUUUCCCCUUCUGUAGCGCUGUGUGAGAUUGAAGCCUGAGAGGUGACAUCUUCUAAGGGUUAGGGAGACAGAACUCUGGAGCCCGACUUAUUAGGUUCAAAUCCUGCCUUCACUUCUUGUGCCUCAGUGUCCCUAUUUUGUCAGCGCUCGGGAGGUUGCUGUGAUGAGUAAAUGACUUAAUUCUGGCACAUAAUAAGUUUUAUAGAAAUGCUGAUAAUCUUUGUUAACUGUUUUUUGCAAAUAAGAGCACUAAAGAGACUAAACCAUUCCUAGGUGCCUGGAAGAGGCUGUUUGCAUUUUAGUUAACCUGCUGUUCAUAACAUCUCUAAGAAAAUGUAGGGGCCAUGCUGGGCGCGGUGGCUCACGCCUGUAAUUCUAGCACUUUAGGAGGCCGAGACAGGCGGAUCACGAGGUCAGGAGAUCGAGACCAUCCUGGCUAACACGGUGAAACCCUGUCUCUACUAAAAAUACAAAAAGAAAUUAGCCGGGUGUGGUGGCGGUCGCCUGUAGUGCCAGCUACUCGGGAGGCUGAGGCAGGAAAAUGGCGUGAACCCGGAGGCGGAGCUUGCAGUGAGCCAAGGUCGUGCCACUGCACUCCAUCCUGGACGACAAAGCGAGACUCCGUCUCAAAAAGAAAAAGGGAAAAAUGUAGGGGCUGCCUGUGGCUCACAUCUGUGAUCCCAGCACAUUGGGAGGCCGAGGCCGGCGGAUCACUUGAAGCCAGGAGUUGGAGACCAGCCUGGCCAAUAUGGUGAAAGCCCGUCUCUACUAAAAAUACAAACAUUAGCCUGACAUGGUAGUGCAAGCCUGUAGUCCCAGCUACUCGGGAGGCUGAGGCAUGAGAAUCACUUGGGCCCCGGGGAGAUGGAGGUUGCAGUGAGCCGAGAUCAUACCACUGCUCUCCAGCUUGGGCAACAGAGAUGGACUCCAUCUCAAAAACAAAACAAAACAAAACAAAAAUAUAAACAAAAAACAGGUGGGCCGGGCGCGGUGGCUCAAGCCUGUAAUCCCAGCACUUUGGGAGGCCGAGACCGGCGGAUCACGAGGUCAGGAGAUCGAGACCAUCCUGGCUAACACGGUGAAACCCCGUCUCUACCAAAAAAAUACAAAAAUCUAGUCGGGUGAGGCGGCGGGCGCCUGUAGUCCCAGC